AACUCAAAUGAAUUGACGGGGGCCCGCACAAGCGGUGGAGCAUGUGGUUUAAUUCGAUGCAACGCGAAGAACCUUACCUGGUCUUGACAUCCACGGAAGUUUUCAGAGAUGAGAAUGUGCCUUCGGGAACCGUGAGACAGGUGCUGCAUGGCUGUCGUCAGCUCGUGUUGUGAAAUGUUGGGUUAAGUCCCGCAACGAGCGCAACCCUUAUCCUUUGUUGCCAGCGGUCCGGCCGGGAACUCAAAGGAGACUGCCAGUGAUAAACUGGAGGAAGGUGGGGAUGACGUCAAGUCAUCAUGGCCCUUACGACCAGGGCUACACACGUGCUACAAUGGCGCAUACAAAGAGAAGCGACCUCGCGAGAGCAAGCGGACCUCAUAAAGUGCGUCGUAGUCCGGAUUGGAGUCUGCAACUCGACUCCAUGAAGUCGGAAUCGCUAGUAAUCGUGGAUCAGAAUGCCACGGUGAAUACGUUCCCGGGCCUUGUACACACCGCCCGUCACACCAUGGGAGUGGGUUGCAAAAGAAGUAGGUAGCUU
RNAcentral lists this ribosomal RNA (538 nucleotides) under Shigella flexneri. RNAcentral's name for it is "bacterial SSU rRNA". It matches the Rfam family "Bacterial small subunit ribosomal RNA", at positions 898 to 1436 of the family's 1533-position model. Lineage: Bacteria; Pseudomonadati; Pseudomonadota; Gammaproteobacteria; Enterobacterales; Enterobacteriaceae. The record is from RNAcentral.